GCAUUUCGGCUGCCUAUCAUGCAAGUCGAGCGAAUGGAUUAGAAACUUGCUCUUCUUAAGGUAGAGUCGGACAGGUGAGUAACACAUGGGUAACCUGCCCAUAAGACUGGGAAAACUCCCGCAAACCAGGGCUAAUACCGGAUAACAUUUUGAACCGCAUGGGUCGGAAUUCAUCGGAGGCUUCCGCUGUCGCUUAUGGAUGGACCCGCGUCGCUUUAUCUAGGUGGUGAGGCACCGGCUCGCCACGGUCCCGAUGCGGAUCCAACCUGAGACCGGUGCAUCGGCCACACUGAGACUGAGACACGACCCCAUACUCCUACGGGAGGCGGCAAUAUGGAAUCUUCGCGCAGUGGACCAGAGUCUGACGGACCACCGCCGCGAUGAGUGAUGAACGCUUUCGGGUCGUAUAACUCUGUAGUUAAGGAAGAAUCAAGUGCUAGUUGAAUAAGCUGGACACCUUGCACGGUACCUAACCACAAAGCCACUGCUAACUACCUGCCACCAGCCGCGGUAAUACGUAGGUGGCAAGCGUAAUCCCGAAUUAUUGGGCGUGAGGCGCGCGCACGUGGUUUCUUAAGUCUGAUGUGAAGGCCCACGGCUCAACCGUGGAGGGUCAUUGCAAACUGGGAGACUUGAGUAGCAGAAGAGGAAAGUGGAAUUCCAUGUGUAGCGGUGCAAUGCUGUAGAGAUAUGGAGGAACACCAGUGGCGAAGGGGACUCUGUGGUCUGUAACUGACACUGAGGCGCGACAGCGUGGGGAGCAAACCGGACUAGAUACCAUGGCAGUCCACGCCGUAACCGAUGAGUGGUAAGUGUUAGAGGGUUUCCGCCCGUCAGUGCUGAGAGUCUAACGCAGUAAGCACUCCGCCGCGGGAGUACGGCCGGCAAGCGCUGAAACUCAAAGGAAUAGACGGGGGCCCGCACAAGCGGUCGGAGCAUGUGGUUUAAUUAGAAGCAACGCGAAGAACCUCCUCAGGUCCCGCCAUCCUCUGAAAGACCCCAGAGAUAGGGCUUCUCCUUCGGCAGCAGAGCGACAGCUGCGUGCAUGGUCAGUCGUCAGCUCGUGUCGUGAGAUGUUGGGGUAAGUCCCGCAACGAGCGCAACCCUUGAUCUUAGCUAGCCGAUCAUUAAGUUGGGCACUUUAAGGUGACUGCCGGUGACAAACCGGAGGAAGGUGGGGAUGACGUCAAAUCAUCAUGCCCCUUAUGACCUGGGCUACACACGUGAUACAAUGGUCGGUACAAAGAGUCGCCAGCCCGCGAGGUGGAGCCAAUCUCAUAAAACCGUUUUCAGUUCGGAUUGUCGGUUGCAACUUGCCUACAGGAAGCUGGAAUCGCUAGUAAUCGCGGAUCAGCAAGCCGCGGGGAAUACGUUCCCGGGCUUUGUACACCCCGCCCGUCACCCCCCGAGAGUGGUAACACCCGAAGUCGGUGGCGUAACCUUAUGGAGCCAGCCUCACAACGGUGACCAAGAAC
This 1475-nucleotide ribosomal RNA is filed under the name uncultured Bacillus sp. RNAcentral's name for it is "partial 16S ribosomal RNA". It matches the Rfam family "Bacterial small subunit ribosomal RNA". The record is from RNAcentral. Lineage: Bacteria; Bacillati; Bacillota; Bacilli; Caryophanales; Bacillaceae.